The sequence is a transfer RNA, 77 nucleotides long. It matches the Rfam family "tRNA". From Rfam's summary of the family: Transfer RNA (tRNA) molecules are approximately 80 nucleotides in length. Their secondary structure includes four short double-helical elements and three loops (D, anti-codon, and T loops). Further hydrogen bonds mediate the characteristic L-shaped molecular structure. tRNAs have two regions of fundamental functional importance: the anti-codon, which is responsible for specific mRNA codon recognition, and the 3' end, to which the tRNAs corresponding amino acid is attached (by aminoacyl-tRNA synthetases). tRNAs cope with the degeneracy of the genetic code in two manners: having more than one tRNA (with a specific anti-codon) for a particular amino acid; and 'wobble' base-pairing, i.e. permitting non-standard base-pairing at the 3rd anti-codon position.
GCACCGGUAGCUCAGCCUGGUAGAGCAAGGGCCUUUUAAGCCCGGGGUCGUGGGUUCGAAUCCCACCCGGUGUACCA